Molecule: ribosomal RNA, 253 nt
Filed under: uncultured bacterium
Lineage: Bacteria
Description: partial 16S ribosomal RNA
Rfam family: Bacterial small subunit ribosomal RNA
Source: RNAcentral
UACGAAGGGGGCUAGCGUUGCUCGGAAUUACUGGGCGUAAAGGGCUCGUAGGCGGCCAACUAAGUCACACGUGAAAUCCCCAGGCUUAACCUGGGAACUGCGUGUGAUACUGGAUGGCUUGAAUCCGGGAGAGGGAUGCAGAAUUCCAGGUGUAGCGGUGAAAUGCGUAGAUAUCUGGAGGAAUACCGGUGGCGAAGGCGGCAUCCUGGACCGGCAUUGACGCUGAUGAGCGAAAGCUAGGGGAGCAAGCGGG